AGUUCAAUUUUGAUACAAAGUGUGUUGGUUGCAUAUUAUCUUUCAUUUAGCAAUAAAGAACAUUCUUGUGAAAUAUUUGAAUAUUUUGCUGAAAUUCAUAGCUGAUACUUCUGGUAGUAGACAACACAACAGCAAACGUGUAAUUGCAAUUAUAGCUUGUUUGUUUAGUAAAUCUAUCACAUUCUUCCACCAUCUUCAUUUGAGGAUUUAUUAUUGCUGACAUUGUUCCAUUCACAAAUAUCUUGGUUCAACAAUAAAUAUUCCAUUCAACAUCUUAUCUUUCUUUUGAAUCCCAAUAUCAUGCUUUAUUUUAAACUCUAGCUGUAAUAACUAAAUGAAUAAAAAAAUUGAUAACUUUAUAUAAUUCAGUAUUUUCAUUUAUUUGGGUGCUCUCUAGAUUGUUUAAUACCCUAUAAAUUUCCAUGCUUUACUUGCUUUUAUAUUCAUCCUUGAUUUAGGUACCUAAGACUCAGCUUUACUAUUCAUUAGCAUCUAUUGAU
Molecule: long non-coding RNA, 500 nt
Filed under: Phoenix dactylifera (date palm)
Lineage: Eukaryota; Viridiplantae; Streptophyta; Magnoliopsida; Arecales; Arecaceae
Description: long non-coding RNA (PDAC_LNC023150)
Source: RNAcentral